RNAcentral lists this transfer RNA (75 nucleotides) under Segatella copri. Its description in RNAcentral is "Prevotella copri tRNA-Met". It matches the Rfam family "tRNA". Rfam says of the family: Transfer RNA (tRNA) molecules are approximately 80 nucleotides in length. Their secondary structure includes four short double-helical elements and three loops (D, anti-codon, and T loops). Lineage: Bacteria; Pseudomonadati; Bacteroidota; Bacteroidia; Bacteroidales; Prevotellaceae. The record is from RNAcentral.
CGCGGUGUGGAGCAGUUGGUAGCUCGCAGGCUCAUAACCUGGAGGUCGCAUGUUCGAGUCCUGCCGCCGCAACAA